AUAUGUUACAGCGUAUUCCCGAAAGGAUUCAUUAAUGUGAAGCUGCCUUGUAACCAAAAAUAUUGUAAUGGGGGAAUUAUUGUG
This 84-nucleotide small RNA is filed under the name Liquorilactobacillus cacaonum. Its description in RNAcentral is "Lactobacillus cacaonum SAM-III sequence". It matches the Rfam family "SAM-III riboswitch aptamer (SMK box)". RNAcentral also lists the same sequence under 1 other name. Lineage: Bacteria; Bacillati; Bacillota; Bacilli; Lactobacillales; Lactobacillaceae. The record is from RNAcentral.